RNAcentral lists this ribosomal RNA (406 nucleotides) under uncultured bacterium. RNAcentral's name for it is "partial 16S ribosomal RNA". It matches the Rfam family "Bacterial small subunit ribosomal RNA", at positions 29 to 526 of the family's 1533-position model. The record is from RNAcentral.
AUUGAACGCUGGCGGCAGGCCUAACACAUGCAAGUCGAACGAGUGGCGGACGGGUGAGUAAUGUCUGGGAAACUGCCUGAUGGAGGGGGAUAACUACUGGAAACGGUAGCUAAUACCGCAUACCAUCGGAUGUGCCCAGAUGGGAUUAGCUUGUUGGUGGGGUAACGGCUCACCAAGGCGACGAUCCCUAGCUGGUCUGAGAGGAUCCCCAGCCACACGGGAACUGUGAAACGGUCCAGACUCCUACGGGAGGCAGCAGGGGGGAAUAUUGCACAAGGGGCGCAAGAAUGAUGCAGCCAUGCCGCGUGUAUGAAGAAGGACGUCGGGUUGUAAAGUACUGUCAGCGGGGAGGCGGUACCCGCAGAAGAAGCACCGGCUAACUCCGUGCCAGCAGCCGCGGUAAUUC